This 498-nucleotide ribosomal RNA is filed under the name uncultured bacterium. RNAcentral's name for it is "partial 16S ribosomal RNA". It matches the Rfam family "Bacterial small subunit ribosomal RNA", at positions 30 to 523 of the family's 1533-position model. The record is from RNAcentral.
AUUGAACGCUGGCGGCAUGCCUUACACAUGCAAGUCGAACGGUAACAGGUCUUCGGAUGCUGACGAGUGGCGAACGGGUGAGUAAUACAUCGGAACGUGCCUAGUAGUGGGGGAUAACUACUCGAAAGAGUGGCUAAUACCGCAUGAGAUCUACGGAUGAAAGCAGGGGAUCGCAAGACCUUGUGCUACUAGAGCGGCCGAUGGCAGAUUAGGUAGUUGGUGGGAUAAAAGCUUACCAAGCCGACGAUCUGUAGCUGGUCUGAGAGGACGAUCAGCCACGCUGGGACUGAGACACGGCCCAGACUCCUACGGGAGGCAGCAGUGGGGAAUUUUGGACAAUGGGCGAAAGCCUGAUCCGGCAAUGCCGCGUGCAGGAUGAAGGCCUCCGGGUUGUAAACUGCUUUUGUACGGAACGAAAAGCCCCGGGUUAAUACCCUGGGGUCAUGACGGUACCGUAAGAAUAGGCACCGGCUAACUACGUGCCAGCCGCCGCCGUAA